GACGAACGCUGGCGGCGUGCUUAACACAUGCAAGUCGAGCGGAAAGGCCCUUCGGGGUACUCGAGCGGCGAACGGGUGAGUAACACGUGGGUAACCUGCCCUUCACUCUGGGAUAACUCCGGGAAACCGGGGCUAAUACCGGAUACGACCACUUUAGGCAUCUUCGGUGGUGGAAAGUUUUUCGGUUGGAGGAUGGACCCGCCGGCCUAUCAGCUUGUUGGUGGGGGUAAGUGGCCUACCAAGGCAGUGACGGGUAGCCGGCCNGAGAGGGCGACCGGCCACACUGGGACUGAGACACGGCCCAGACUCCUACGGGAGGCAGCAGUGGGGAAUAUUGCGCAAUGGGCGGAAGCCUGACGCAGCGACGCCGCGUGAGGGAUGACGGCCU
RNAcentral lists this ribosomal RNA (388 nucleotides) under uncultured bacterium. RNAcentral's name for it is "bacterial SSU rRNA". It matches the Rfam family "Bacterial small subunit ribosomal RNA", at positions 28 to 417 of the family's 1533-position model. The record is from RNAcentral.